This is a long non-coding RNA of Gopherus evgoodei (Goodes thornscrub tortoise), 94 nucleotides long. RefSeq lists it as uncharacterized. The transcript is spliced from 3 exons. The record is from RefSeq and is a predicted model, not a curated record. NCBI's taxonomy places the organism in Eukaryota, Metazoa, Chordata, Testudines, Testudinidae.
AAAUGACUGUAUUGGCUAUUAGGCCUAACUGGUAGACAAAAUAAUGAGAGGAUGGGCUAGUCCAUUCAUCACUCCCUUUUUGGGUCCUUAAAGA